Molecule: non-coding RNA, 101 nt
Filed under: Otolemur garnettii (small-eared galago)
Lineage: Eukaryota; Metazoa; Chordata; Mammalia; Primates; Galagidae
Source: RNAcentral
GCCUGGUCUGAGUGCAGUGUUUACAACUAAUUGAUCACGACACGACCAGUUACAGAUUCUUUCGUUCUGUCUCCACUCCCACUGCUUCACUUAACUACAAA